RNAcentral lists this ribosomal RNA (484 nucleotides) under uncultured bacterium. RNAcentral describes it as "partial 16S ribosomal RNA". It matches the Rfam family "Bacterial small subunit ribosomal RNA", at positions 29 to 523 of the family's 1533-position model. The record is from RNAcentral.
AGUGAACGCUGGCGGCGUGCUUAACACAUGCAAGUCGAACGAGAACGGGUUAUAGCUUGCUAUAAUUGUCAGCUAAGUGGCGCACGGGUGAGUAAUGUAUAGGUAAUAUGCCUCUUACUAAGGGAUAACAAAUGGAAACGUUUGCUAAUACCUUAUACUCCUUAUUAACAGAAGUUAAUAAGGGAAAGAUUUAUUGGUAAGAGAUUAGCCUGUAUUGUAUCAGUUAGUUGGUGGGGUAAUGGCCUACCAAGACUAUGACACAUAACUGGUUUGAGAGGAUGAUCAGUCACACUGGAACUGAGACACGGUCCAGACUCCUACGGGAGGCAGCAGUGGGGAAUAUUGCACAAUGGACGAAAGUCUGAUGCAGCAACGCCACGUGGAGGAUGACACAUUUCGGUGCGUAAACUCCUUUUAUAUGAGAAGAUAAUGACGGUAUUAUAUGAAUAAGCACCGGCUAACUCCGUGCCAGCAGCCGCGGUAA